GACGAACGCUGGCGGCGUGCUUAACACAUGCAAGUCGAGCGGUAAGGCCCUUUCGGGGGUACACGAGCGGCGAACGGGUGAGUAACACGUGGGUGACCUGCCCUCAGUUCUGGGAUAAGCCUGGGAAACCGGGUCUAAUACUGGAUAUGACCUCAUGACGCAUGUUGUGGGGUGGAAAGCCUUGUGCGACUGAGGAUGGGCCCGCGGCCUAUCAGCUUGUUGGUGGGGUGAUGGCCUACCAAGGCGACGACGGGUAGCCGGCCUGAGAGGGCGACCGGCCACACUGGGACUGAGACACGGCCCAGACUCCUACGGGAGCAGCAGUGGGGAAUCUUGCGCAAUGGGCGAAAGCCUGACGCAGCG
Molecule: ribosomal RNA, 363 nt
Filed under: uncultured bacterium
Lineage: Bacteria
Description: bacterial SSU rRNA
Rfam family: Bacterial small subunit ribosomal RNA
Source: RNAcentral